RNAcentral lists this ribosomal RNA (492 nucleotides) under uncultured bacterium. RNAcentral describes it as "partial 16S ribosomal RNA". It matches the Rfam family "Bacterial small subunit ribosomal RNA", at positions 29 to 507 of the family's 1533-position model. The record is from RNAcentral.
AGUGAACGCUGGCGGUAGGCCUAACACAUGCAAGUCGAACGGCAGCACAGUAAGAGCUUGCUCUUACGGGUGGCGAGUGGCGGACGGGUGAGGAAUACAUCGGAAUCUACUUUUUCGUGGGGGAUAACGUAGGGAAACUUACGCUAAUACCACAUACGACCUACGGGUGAAAGCAGGGGAUCUUCGGACCUUGCGCGACUGAAUGAGCCGAUGUCGGAUUAGCUAGUUGGCGGGGUAAAGGCCCACCAAGGCGACGAUCCGUAGCUGGUCUGAGAGGAUGAUCAGCCACACUGGAACUGAGACACGGUCCAGACUCCUACGGGAGGCAGCAGUGGGGAAUAUUGGACAAUGGGCGCAAGCCUGAUCCAGCCAUACCGCGUGGGUGAAGAAGGCCUUCGGGUUGUAAAGCCCUUUUGUUGGGAAAGAAAAGCAGCAGGUUAAUACCCCGCUGUUCUGACGGUACCCAAAGAAUAAGCACCGGCUAACUUCGUG